AACAAUGUGUCCCUCGUCUCCUGUUACCAUCGAUCCUAUGUGACACACCGGCUCAGAGAAACUGGAACACCCCGUAUUCCAGCCCAGAGAUCAAGGAAAAGUCUCUGGAAUACGGCACUUCUUGACAUAGAACAAAUCAUCUCUUAUUACAAGAAUAAUAAUACAAGGGUUUGAUGUUACAACGAAGCACAUCAGCACGGCGACACUACGCCUGCGAAACUACACUUGCUCUAUGCUAGCAGUGGAACAACUCGUAGCAGCGGAAUACUUCUAGCAGCGGAACAAUGACGAAGGUGGUGAACUCCACUCCACAGGGACUCUGGCUGGGACACGCUCUAGCUCGCACGCACGGCAACCUCGACAAGCAAGCAAGCAAUCAUGGCAUCACCUGCAAUCUGGCAUGACACGCCAGGUUAGUACAUUGAAUGUACUUGCAAGCUCACAACAACCAUAAACAUCAAGGCGAGACAAUAACAUAGCAUUUAACAGGUUAAUUAAAUUAACAACUAUUAUGAUGAAACAACUACUAAGCAUGGUAUGAAACUGAUACAAUACUAAUAAAUCACCAUCUCAGAUCUCCAUAACCAUAUCACUCUUGGCUAACCGGCCAAGCAAUAUACCAUCUCGAUCACCUCGUGAUCAAAUCCAAACAGUGCUCUUUCCGGCGAUCACUACCAUGACCAACACUUGGUCUCAAAUGGUGAUCUUUCCGGCGAUCACUACCAUGACCAACACUUGGUCUCGAACGGUGAUCUUUCCGGUGAUCACUACCACGACCAACACUUGGUCUCAAACGGUGAUCUUUCCGGCGAUCACUACCACGACCAACACUUGGUCUCCAACAUCAUCAUCAACAUCCUGCCAAUCUGUACUACUCAAAUAUCAACAUAUAUAUAUGUAUAUCUAUAUCACCUAUAAGUCAUUCCGUCAUGUGAGUGUUGAUCGAACGGUGGGACCUAGUAUGAACCCAUGCCCAUGAUCGAGGACGCGGCUAUCGAUAGUUUAAACAAAUACACUCUGUAGAGGUAGCGCACUUUACCCACACCACGAAACCCAUGGCCUCGCACUCCCAUUCAGGUGGACCAGCGGUGUUCCGACAAAACCGUUCUACUACCAUGACACUCUCCCGGCCACUCCGACCAACACCCCUUCUGGGUUUAGUCCUGGGUGGCCCCGUGUCUACCAAAGACACAACGACCACCGUCGUGGCCAAAACAUAAACGUCCCAAUGGGGACAAAAAGGCGCCUAACAACUACGGGCACACAAGGUUAUGUCUGCUUACCGGGCCAGGGUACGCACGCCCAUAACCUUCCCUCGUUGGAGGCACCGACAAGAGACAUGACAAUAGACCACAUUAUGGCCUUCCCAUAAGGCAAAUGUGGUUGCACUGGAAGAGCCCGGUUCGGUGGCACCUGACCAACUUAAUGACGAAAUUUAUCCCCAAAAAUAUAACUGUGAUAACUGAUACUCCAAUAUCAACUAUCAAACUAUAAUCCAAGUCAUAGCAAUAACCAACAAAUAAUCCAAGCAUAAUAUCAUCAUCUCAAAAUACUCCAAGGGUAGCACUACACUACUGUCAUGAUGAAUCCGAAAAUCAUAAUCCUACUACUCCAAUAACAAGAAUAAAGCUAUUCGGCUAAGAUCCACAUGUAAACAUCAUUUCUGAAAAUAAUACUCCAAGCAACAGAACAUCAACUAGCAUCAUGAAAAAUAAUCAUACUAACCACUAAUAAUCCAAAGGUAGCAUGAUAUCCAAAGUAAUACUUCAAAAUAAUACCGGAUACCAUCAUGAAAAUAAUAAUCAUAAUAGCCACUAAGAAUCCAAAGGCACGUGUCAUCCACAUAAUCAUCAAAAUAUUAAUCCUAGAACUCCAAGCAAUAUCAUGGCAAUAUCAAGCUCUAAACAAUACUCCCGGAAAUGCCAUGAACAAAUCAUACAUAGCUAAUGCAGUGUUUUAAACAAGUUCAAAUGAAUAAACCAUGUCACUGCAUUGCAAUCAUGCAAAUGGAGGGUGUGGCUUGUCUGGGAUGGAAGAAUACACCGCGAGAAAGUGCGAGAAACUCGCGGAACGAAUCACCGGAAAGCGUUCUCUCUCGGAGGGGGCUGAAUAAGGGCAGGGGGAAGACGGUCAUUUUAAGAAUGUCGAAACAUGGUGAAAAUGGUUCCACCAGAACGGGCUCGACAAAACGAAGAAGUGGGCUUUGGAUUCACCUCAAACGGAGUUGUGAGCAAAAAGUUAUAGCUCGACGAAGUUCAGGGACCAAUCUGUAAAAAUAACUCUACAAACAGGCCC
RNAcentral lists this long non-coding RNA (2295 nucleotides) under Triticum aestivum (bread wheat). RNAcentral's name for it is "long non-coding RNA (TAES_LNC010082)". The record is from RNAcentral. Lineage: Eukaryota; Viridiplantae; Streptophyta; Magnoliopsida; Poales; Poaceae.